UGAGGGAUGAGGAGAUUUGACUCCUAAUCAGAGACAGGGAACAAAUCAAUAGACAGCUGUCCAAUACCUGGAAUUGCUAGUAAGGUUCCACUACUCCAUUAAUGACGGACAGUUGGAUUCACUGAUUAUGUGGACCUUCAUGACUUUUGGGGAGAAAGCUUUGCAAAAAUGCAUGCAACUAUUUUCUUGAAAAGAUGAAAUUGCUCAUGAAGGAGAUCAUUAAUGAGGAGGAUAAGGAGACAAAGGAAAUUGCAAUCAAUGUGACCUCAUUCUCUGCAUAUAAAAUCAAUGUAAUUAAAGCGAUCACCAGAGUGUUUACUGUAUGUCAGGCAUGACUCUAAACAUCUUUCAUGUCUUUAGCUUAUUUAAUCCUCACAAUAACCCUACAGGGUAGAAAUAGUUUUCUUUGGUUUAUUAGUAUAUUUAGAAAUAGUUUCAUAGAGAUUAAAGACUGUCCAAAUUCACACAGGGCCAAGAGCCAUCACUGAGUUGGCCUGACACCAGUGGCCAAAUUCUAACCACUUUGCUCUAGUGUCUCUGCUAGGCUGGAGAAGGUGAUAGUUAACUUCUCCUUAUAGGUCUUGAUGGGAAGGGAACAGAAAGAGACAGAACCUACCUAACAGUUGCUGAACUCCAAGUACCAUCAAGACUUUGUUUAUCUUAAACUCCUUAAGCAUUAUUUCUUCGUUUUACAAAUGAGGGAAAUCAGAAUUCAGAAGGUAAGUGAUUUUUUUUCAGUGCCACUCUGUUGGCAAGUGUGGAACUCAGCUUUGGAUCAGCCUGUGCUUCUUGCCACCUUGGAAGUUUUAAAUAGGUGAUCCUUUUUGUUCCUUAAGCUGAUCCGUGGCAAAGAUUGAAUUCUAUGCGCAUUUCCUUUUGAUAAACAGCUUAUGUCUUGGAACCCUAUUUUGGUAGGCUUAAGAAAAUAUUGGAUGUAAAAAAAUGAUUUAAUGGAAAUUUGAGUGAUAGGGUAGAACAAAAUGUCACUCACUGGCUCGAGGUUGAAAGGUUGUGUUUUUCAGGGUUUUCUGUCCUUAAAUCUUAUCAACUAGCUAUAUGGGGAGGUCUGACAGCCACUGUCUCUUCCUGGGGUUUACUUUAUACAGUGGAAGAGCUGGAUGACAUGGUCUCUAUGUCCUUUACAACCAUAGACUUUAGUGAUGGUUUCAAGGCCAAAUCGCAUACAGUUUAAGUUUUGGAAAGACCCUUGAGAGCAUCAGUUCCAUUCCCAAUUCCUCCACAUCUUUGCAGAUGUAACACAGGGUCUCCCAUCUCUUGGCUUCUUACCACAGUCUCUUAGUUUGUCUUUAAUUUCUUUCUUUCUUUCUUUUUUUUUUUUUUUUUUAUUUUUUUUUUUUUUUUUUGCUUUUUUUGCUUUUUCUAGGGCUGCACCCAUGGCCUACGGAGGUUCCCAGGCUAGGGGUCUAAUCCGAGCUGUAGCCACCUGCCUACACCAGAGCCACAGCAACAUGGGAUCUGAGCCGCGUCUCCGACCUACACUACAGCUCAUGGCAACGCUGGGACCUUAACCCACUGAGCAAGGGCAGGGAUCGAACUCGCAACCUCAUGGUUCCUAAUCGGAUUCGUUAAUCACUGAGCCACGACGGGAACUCCUCUUUAAUUUAUUUCAAUGGGCACAACCAUGGCAUGUGGAAGUUUCCAGGCCAGGGACUGAAUCGGAGCCACAGCUGUGACCUACACCAGUGCUAUGGCAAUGCUGGAUCCUUUAACCCUCUGUGUCAGGCCAGGGAUCUAACCUGUGCCUCUGUAGCUACCCAAGUUACUACAGUCAGAUUCUCAACCCACUGUACCACAGCAGGAACUCCUCUUAGUUUGUCUUUAUUUAUUUAUUUUUGUCCUUUUUUUAAGGGCCGUAUGUACAGCAUAUGGAGGUUCCCAGGCUAGGGGUCGAAUCAGAGCUGUAGCCGCUGGCUUACACCACAGCCACAGCAAUAGCAACGCCACAUCCAAGCUGCGUCUGCGACCCACAGCUCACAGCAACACCAGAUCCUUAACACACCGAGUUAGAGAUCGAACUUGCAACCUCAUGGUUCCUGGUCAGAUUCGUUUCCAUUGAGCCAUGACAGGAACUACUAUUUAUUUUCAGUUCAGGAAGAAAAUUAUCAGUGGCUUUAGAUUUUUCUGCAAAUGUUAAACUGAUUUCUUAUCUUUGUGAUUGGUAAGACUCUACAACUUUGCACUACUUUUUAUCUUUUGGGUCUCCUACCCAUAUUUUGUCAUCUCUGAUUUUCCUCCUUGUUAACAAGUGUUAUUUGAGUCUAUAGUCACAAUUUUAACUUUCAUUUUACUCCAUUUUCCAAUAAGAUCUUUCCCCAUCAAGGAAUCAAUCUGCUGAUUGUGUCUGAUUCCCCUGUUGAAUCUCCCCUCCCCCACCUUCUCUAAUAGCAUUUCGAACCAUAUUUUUUUUCCAGUUUCAUGUGAAUCAUGUUAUGUUUUUGUCAUUACUUAGAAAAUAUGUAAGCAUUGGCUCAUUAUUCUCUUUAAUUUUUAAUAGCCAUCGGGGUCAACCCCAACUUCACAAGCAAAGAAGUGCCUAAGUGCCUCCAUAGCAACCACCAAUUUGCUCAUGCUUUUCUAAGUUGGCUGACACUUGGCUCUUUGGCCUUUAGGCUAGAGUAUUAUGACAAAAAUGUUUUAAAUGUUACUGUUUCAAAGCUUUUCUUUUUCUUUUUGGCCAUGCCUUGCAGCAUGCCAAAGUUCCUAGGCCAGGAUUUGAACCUGAGCCACAGCCACAAUGCUGUAUCCUUAUCUGCUAGGCCACCAAAGCUUAUUUAUUUAUUUAUUUGUCUUUUCAUCUUUUUAGAGCCGCCUCUGUGGCAUAUGGAGUUUCCCAGGCUAGGGGUCUAAUCAGAGCUGUGGCUGCUGGCCUAUGCCACAGCCACAAAAAUGCCAGAUCCAAGCCUUGUCUGCGACCUACACCACAGCUCAUGGCAAUGCCGAGUCCUUAACCCAUUGAGCGAGGCCAGGGAUUGAACCCUGCAAUCUCAUGGUUCCUAAUCGGAUUCGUUUCCGCUGUGCCACGGUGGGAACUCCCAAAGCCUAUUUUAAAAAUGUAUUCAUUCUGUAGUAGAAGGAAGAACUAGACUUGGGUUUGAGCCUCAUCUGGAUCAGUCACUAGUUUUGUUACCCUGGGUACCUCACUUCACUUUUGCAGUCCUGAAUUUCCCCACAUUUAAAAUGGGGUAACAGGAGUUCCCGUAGUGGUGCAGUGGAAACAAAUCCGACUGGUAUCCAUGAGGAUGCGGGUUUGAUCCUUGGCCUUGCUCAGUGUGUUAAGGAUCUGGCAUUGCUGUGAGCUGUGGUGUAGGUCACAGACAUGGCUCAGAUUCUGGCCCUUCUCUGCCUUCCUGGUGCUGUACAGUGGGACCUCGUUGCUUAUCCCUCCUGUUUUUUUUUUUUUUUAAUUUUUAUUUCUUUUUUUGUCUUUUUAGGGCCACACCCAUGGCAUAUGGAGGUUCCCAGGCUAGGGGUUGAAUCGGAGCUGUAGCUGCCUGCCUAUACCACAGCCACAGCCACACCAGAUCCAAGCUGCGUCUGCAACCUACACCAUAGCUCUUGGCAAUGCCUAAGCCCCAACCCACUGAGCAAGGCCAGGGAUCGAACCCUCAUGGUUACUAGUCUGGUCUGUUAACCUCUGAGCCACAACAGGAAUUCCUUAACCAUUCGAACUGUAAUAGUUUGCAUCUAGUUAUCCCAAACUUCCAGUUCAUCCCUCCCCCUCCCCCGUGGCAACCACAGGUCAGUUCUUUAUGUCUGUCAUUCUUAUUUGGUGAACCUGCUUAGUGAGAUUGCUUUAGAUGGACUUAGGUGAACAUUAGCAAAAUUUUCAUUUACUUUUUCCUGGAUGGUGUGGGGAGGCUGCUUCGGAUACUGAAUUAAGGAAACAAAAUCCCUCCUUAGGUUUACUUUAAGUCAGUGUUUCUCAGCCUCUGCUGGGUAUUAAAAUCUCCUGGGAAGCUGUUAGAUCCUACUGAUACCUGGGACCUACUUCAGUCCAGUUAAGUUGCAAUUCCUGGGGGUGGAACCUGCACAUUGGAUAAAAAAAAAAAAAGUGAAGAUCAUGGUUGAUUCUAAUUUGUAGCCAGGCCUGAGGACUACUGGCUUAAGUUAACAUUUCACUACAUUGAAAAUGAGAUUCUAGCAGGAUAAAGCAAUCAGCACAGGUGCUAAGUCAGCCUGCUAAGCAAUCUACGAUAUCAAAACAAGUAAUCAUCCAUAGGAGGUAAAGAAAAGAACUCUAAUCAUCAUUAGGAAGGGCCACUGGGAUCCAUACCUCAGGUUGUUGUUCCGGAACUUGAGAAAUGAAUGAGCUCUCAGUUUCUUUCAGUUCUGGCAUUGGAGUCUCUUAUUAGUUCAGAUUUUCAAAAAUAAGAAGAGGGAAAAUAAACGAGGAAACUGUUGGGACUGAUGCUUUGGAAUUUUCCCAUGCUUUCAUAUUUGUGAAGCAAAGUGUUUGAACAGGAAUGGCAAGUCUGCAUAUUGAUAGAACUGCCAUCUGAGAAGAAGCCUGUGUAUGUGGGCGUGUGCUAGGGGCUGGGGAUACACUGAAACCCACUCCUGACCAAGAGGAAUUUGUGUUCUAGAAAGACUGGAGUGGCCUUAAAGUGAUGGAAUGGAAUCUUCCUACAUUUAAAACCUAAUUCCUCAUUUAAAGUCCCAUCUUUUGGUGAAAAGGAUGUUACAGUUAAGCACAGUAGGAAGCCCUAAAUGCUAAAUGAGGGUUAUACACCUCAAAUCAUACGUGUGGUUGCCUGGGGGGAGGGAGAGGGAGUGG
RNAcentral lists this long non-coding RNA (4795 nucleotides) under Sus scrofa (pig). RNAcentral describes it as "lncRNA (ENSSSCG00065012198.1)". Lineage: Eukaryota; Metazoa; Chordata; Mammalia; Artiodactyla; Suidae. The record is from RNAcentral.